UAGGGAAGUCUUCCACAAUGGACGAAAGUCUGAUGGAGCAACGCCGCGUGAGUGAAGAAGGGUUUCGGCUCGUAAACUCUGUUGUUAAAGAAGAACAUAUCUGAGAGUAACUGUUCAGGUAUUGACGGUAUUUAACCAGAAAGCCACGGCUAACUACGUGCCAG
This 164-nucleotide ribosomal RNA is filed under the name uncultured bacterium. RNAcentral describes it as "partial 16S rRNA". It matches the Rfam family "Bacterial small subunit ribosomal RNA", at positions 355 to 511 of the family's 1533-position model. The record is from RNAcentral.